Molecule: ribosomal RNA, 421 nt
Filed under: uncultured bacterium
Lineage: Bacteria
Description: partial 16S ribosomal RNA
Rfam family: Bacterial small subunit ribosomal RNA
Source: RNAcentral
GAUAUUGGACAAGGGGGGCAACCCUGAGCCAGCCAUGCCGCGUGUGUGAAGAAGGUCUGCGGUUUGUAAAGCACUUUAUGUGGGGAGGAAGGGCUCUAGGUUAAUACCCUGAAGUUUUGACGUUACCAACAGAAGAAGCACCGGCAAACUCUGUGCCAGCAGCCGCGGUAAUACAGAGGGUGCAAGCGUUAAUCGGAAUUACUGGGCGUAAAGCGCGCGUAGGUGGUUCAGUAAGAUGGGUGUGAAAUCCCCGGGCUUAACCUGGGAACUGCUUUCAUAACUGCUGAGCUAGAGUACGGUAGAGGGUAGUGGAAUUUCCUGUGUAGCGGUGAAAUGCGUAGAUAUAGGAAGGAACACCAGUGGCGAAGGCGACUACCUGGACUGAUACUGACACUGAGGUGCGAAAGCGUGGGGAGCAAAC